RNAcentral lists this ribosomal RNA (575 nucleotides) under uncultured fungus. RNAcentral describes it as "eukaryotic LSU rRNA". The stretch from base 209 to 362 matches the Rfam family "5.8S ribosomal RNA". Lineage: Eukaryota; Fungi. The record is from RNAcentral.
UUGGUCAUUUAGAGGAAGUAAAAGUCGUAACAAGGUUUCCGUAGGUGAACCUGCGGAAGGAUCAUUACCUAGAGUUGUAGGCUUUGCCUGCUAUCUCUUACCCAUGUCUUUUGAGUACCUUACGUUUCCUCGGUGGGUUCGCCCACCGAUUGGACAAACUUAAACCCUUUGCAGUUGAAAUCAGCGUCUGAAAAAACUUAAUAGUUACAACUUUCAACAACGGAUCUCUUGGUUCUGGCAUCGAUGAAGAACGCAGCGAAAUGCGAUAAGUAGUGUGAAUUGCAGAAUUCAGUGAAUCAUCGAAUCUUUGAACGCACAUUGCGCCCCUUGGUAUUCCAUGGGGCAUGCCUGUUCGAGCGUCAUUUGUACCCUCAAGCUUUGCUUGGUGUUGGGCGCCUUGUCUACUCCUUUAGCAGGUAGACUCGCCUUAAAGUAAUUGGCAGCCAGUGUUUUUGGCAGUAAGCGCAGCACAUUUUGCGUCUUAGUCCCCAAACAGUGGCAUCCACAAAGCCUCUUUCUCACUUUUGACCUCGGAUCAGGUAGGGAUACCCGCUGAACUUAAGCAUAUCAAUAAG